AUUGAACGCUGGCGGCAUGCUUUACACAUGCAAGUCGAACGGUAACAGGCCUUCGGGUGCUGACGAGUGGCGAACGGGUGAGUAAUGCAUCGGAACGUGCCCAGAGGUGGGGGAUAACGCAGCGAAAGCUGUGCUAAUACCGCAUGUGAUCUGAGGAUGAAAGCGGGGGACCAAGCAGCAAUGUUUGGCCUCGCGCCUCUGGAGCGGCCGAUGUCAGAUUAGGUAGUUGGUGGGGUAAAGGCCUACCAAGCCGACGAUCUGUAGCUGGUCUGAGAGGACGACCAGCCACACUGGGACUGAGACACGGCCCAGACUCCUACGGGAGGCAGCAGUGGGGAAUUUUGGACAAUGGGCGCAAGCCUGAUCCAGCAAUGCCGCGUGUGGGAAGAAGGCCUUCGGGUUGUAAACCGCUUUUGUACGGAACGAAAAGGCUCUGGCUAAUACCUGGGGCUGAUGACGGUACCGUAAGAAUAAGCACCGGCUAACUACGUG
RNAcentral lists this ribosomal RNA (492 nucleotides) under uncultured bacterium. RNAcentral describes it as "partial 16S ribosomal RNA". It matches the Rfam family "Bacterial small subunit ribosomal RNA", at positions 30 to 507 of the family's 1533-position model. The record is from RNAcentral.